AUGGCAAACACAAACAGCGACACCAAAGAAGAAAGCAAAAAAAAUGGAUGAAAGAGAGACAAUACCUUUAUUUUCUUUUCUUGUACGUCUGAUUUGGAUGAUCAAAGGUACCCUAAUACACCUGGCAUUUGGACAAGAGAACAGGUGGAAGCUUGGAAACCAAUUGUGAGCUCUGUUCAUGAGAAGGGAGGUAUUUUCUUUUGUCAACUUUGGCAUGCUGGGAAAGUCUCCAACUAUGAUGAAUUCCAACCACAUGGUGAAGCCCCAAUAUCAAGCACAAACAAGCGACCUCGUAAGGAAAUCCCCAAGCUUGUCAAUGAAUUCGUAAUUGCGGCCAAAAAUGCCAUGGAAGCGGGUUUUGAUGGAAUAGAACUACAUGGAGCAAAUGGGUACUUGCUGGAUCAGUUCCUAAAGGACAAAGUGAACGACGAAGAUGAUGAGUACGGAGGUACUAUAGAAAAUCGUUGCCGGUUCCCACUGCAAGUGGUGAAGGCAGUAGCUGAUGAGAUCGGAGCUGACAAGGUUGGGAUUAGGCUCUCCCCUUUUGCUGAUUGCGUAGGAGACGACACCAACAACGAUGAUCCUCAAGCAUUGGGGAUUCACAUGGCUGAGUCAUUGAAUCAACUUGGCAUUCUCUAUAUUCACUUGAUUGAGCCCAGGACGAUGGUAACACAGUUCCACAAGUUUGACACAAAAUAUUUGUCCCUAGAGCCAAUUAGGAAGGCCUUCAAGGGAACUUUCAUUGUGGCUGGUGGUUACGAUAGGAGUGAGGGAAACCUAGCCAUAUCCAGCAGUGCUGCUGAUUUGGUUGCUUAUGGGCGCCUUUUUCUGGCAAAUCCAGAUCUCCCCACAAGAUUCCAGCUCGAUGCUCAGUUAAACGAACCCGAUGCCACCACCUUUUCCACCCAUGACCCUGUGCUUGGAUACACAGAUUACCCAUUUCUUCAAGAUAUAUAGUCAGUAGAAGUAAUUAGAGGUCACAAAAUGAACAGACUUGUCUUGCAAAAACCCAUUAAUUAAAAGCCCUAAAAAGUUAGGUUUUUAUAGGAUUUGAACUUCAUUUUAGAGGUUCAAAUUUAAUCUUUUUUUUUUUUUGGUUCAACUCACAAUAAUAUGCAACCUACAUUGGAGUCACUUGCGUUGGGUGGAAUAAUCCGUUUUUCCACUUCUAAAAAUGAAGUUAUGUUUGACAUUCAUCUUGCUUCCACUAUCAUCAUCCCUCGAUCUUGACUUGUAUAAUUAAUUAAGUACCAUCUUUUAUUAUGACUUUUGUAAGUGAAUGUCAUUAGAUGAAACACUAGUCUAUAUAUUAUACAUAAAGAUUCACUUUUAA
This is an RNA transcript of Glycine soja, 1333 nucleotides long. It is a transcript of the gene named putative 12-oxophytodienoate reductase 11, with no coding region annotated. The record is from RefSeq and is a predicted model, not a curated record. The transcript has 3 exons. Lineage: Eukaryota; Viridiplantae; Streptophyta; Magnoliopsida; Fabales; Fabaceae.